This 680-nucleotide long non-coding RNA is filed under the name Triticum aestivum (bread wheat). RNAcentral's name for it is "long non-coding RNA (TAES_LNC016844)". The record is from RNAcentral. Lineage: Eukaryota; Viridiplantae; Streptophyta; Magnoliopsida; Poales; Poaceae.
AUGUGAUCUGGGAUAAUAAACAUGUCUGUUAUGAUUUGUCCAAUAUAAUGAAGCAGGCUUUCAUACUCAUUAUUUGCAUAUAAGCAUGUUUCUCUUGAAUCCCAACUGAAAAACGUGUCUACAACGUGUUUUUGUUCAUAUCUGCUUAUUCACCUAAAAUCAUAUUUGGGGUAUCUCAAAAGACUCAAAUUAGAUCGAUGUAUUGAAACUGAAGGAUGGUCGAUUUGGUUGGGAGUAAAAACUGUAGGGUAAUGCACUUUUUUUAUAUUGAGUUGUUUCUUGAACACAAAUCCUUGGGAGAGGAAGAGUUUCUGAUGCGGGCAAGGAAUCAGAUCUUCAGGUGACCACACAUUCAUUCAAACCAGGUGACCCAUACUUCCUUUUAUCUCCCUUGCAUUUUUGAUUUGGUUCACCUCCACUCCCAUCCUAGCUUGCUCUUUUGGGUUCCUAUAGGUUGGUUGCAAGGCAGUGAAGAACUGAAAUACCUGAAGAGAACAUUAGGAGAUGAUGCUAGAAGCUUGCUUGUGUGCUACCUGUUGUUGUCAUUCGAAGGAGGAAGGAAUGUGCAUAUUCUCAUUGAAUAGAAAAAAGAGGCACUAUGGUGAGAGUUGACUAAAUGUAGAGUUGAAUCCCUUUACCAUAGUAGUUUAAAUAGCAACCAGAAGUUAUUUUCCUGAGCC